AGAGUUUGAUCCUGGCUCAGGAUGAACGCUAGCGACAGGCCUAACACAUGCAAGUCGAGGGGCAGCACAAGGAGUAAUCUGAGGUGGCGACCGGCGCACGGGUGAGUAACACGUAUGCAACCUGCCUGCUACUUGGGGAUAACCCGUUGAAAGACGGCCUAAUACCCAAUGAAACAGGGGCCCCACCUGGGGAUAUUUGUUAAAGAUUAAUUGGUAGCAGAUGGGCAUGCGUAUGAUUAGCUAGUAGGUGAGGUAACGGCUCACCUAGGCAACGGUCAUUAGGGGUUCUGAGAGGAAGGUCCCCCACACUGGAACUGAGACACGGUCCAGACUCCUACGGGAGGCAGCAGUGAGGAAUAUUGGUCAAUGGUCGAGAGACUGAACCAGCCAAGUCGCGUGAAGGAUGACGGUUCUAUGAAUUGUAAACUUCUUUUAUUCGGGAAUAAAGUAUGGUACGUGUACUGUUUUGUAUGUACCGAAUGAAUAAGCAUCGGCUAACUCCGUGCCAGCAGCCGCGGUAAUACGGAGGAUGCGAGCGUUAUCCGGAUUUAUUGGGUUUAAAGGGUGCGUAGGCGGACUUGUAAGUCAGUGGUGAAAGUUUGCAGCUUAACUGUAAAAUUGCCGUUGAAACUGCGGGUCUUGAGUGCAAAUGAGGUAGGCGGAAUGUGUUGUGUAGCGGUGAAAUGCAUAGAUAUAACACAGAACUCCGAUUGCGAAGGCAGCUUACUGGGAUGCAACUGACGCUGAUGCACGAAAGCGUGGGUAUCAAACAGGAUUAGAUACCCUGGUAGUCCACGCAGUAAACGAUG
This 809-nucleotide ribosomal RNA is filed under the name uncultured bacterium. RNAcentral's name for it is "bacterial SSU rRNA". It matches the Rfam family "Bacterial small subunit ribosomal RNA", at positions 8 to 811 of the family's 1533-position model. The record is from RNAcentral.